ACAUUGCUCAGCUGCUGGACCUGA
Molecule: non-coding RNA, 24 nt
Filed under: Cricetulus griseus (Chinese hamster)
Lineage: Eukaryota; Metazoa; Chordata; Mammalia; Rodentia; Cricetidae
Source: RNAcentral